RNAcentral lists this ribosomal RNA (253 nucleotides) under uncultured bacterium. Its description in RNAcentral is "partial 16S ribosomal RNA". It matches the Rfam family "Bacterial small subunit ribosomal RNA", at positions 524 to 776 of the family's 1533-position model. The record is from RNAcentral.
UACAGGGGGGGCAAGCGUUGUUCGGAAUUACUGGGCGUAAAGGGCUCGUAGGUGGCCAACUAAGUCAUACGUGAAAUCCCUCGGCUUAACCGGGGAACUGCGUCUGAUACUGGAUGGCUUGAGUUCGGGAGAGGGAUGCGGAAUUCCAGGUGUAGCAGUGAAAUGCGUAGAUAUCUGGAGGAAUACCGGUGGCGAAGGCGGCAUCCUGGACCGACAUUGACGCUGAUGAGCGAAAGCUAGGGGAGCAAACGGG